UACGAAGGGGGCUAGCGUUGUUCGGAAUUACUGGGCGUAAAGCGUAUGCAGGCGGAUCAUUAAGUCGGGGGUGAAAUCCCGAGGCUCAACCUCGGAACUGCCUUCGAUACUGAUGAUCUUGAGUCCGGGAGAGGUGAGUGGAACUGCGAGUGUAGAGGUGAAAUUCGUAGAUAUUCGCAAGAACACCAGUGGCGAAGGCGGCUCACUGGCCCGGUACUGACGCUGAGGCGCGAAAGCGUGGGGAGCAAACAGG
This 253-nucleotide ribosomal RNA is filed under the name uncultured bacterium. RNAcentral's name for it is "partial 16S ribosomal RNA". It matches the Rfam family "Bacterial small subunit ribosomal RNA", at positions 524 to 776 of the family's 1533-position model. The record is from RNAcentral.